This 382-nucleotide ribosomal RNA is filed under the name uncultured eukaryote. RNAcentral describes it as "partial 18S ribosomal RNA". It matches the Rfam family "Eukaryotic small subunit ribosomal RNA", at positions 592 to 975 of the family's 1831-position model. The record is from RNAcentral.
CAAUAGCGUAUAUUAAAGUUGUUGCAGUUAAAAAGCUCGUAGUUGGAUUUCUGGUGGGAGCGAUCGGUCUGGCGCUUAGCGCGAGUACUUGCAUCGUCUCCGGCCAUCCUUGGGGAGAGUCUGUCUGGCAUUAGGUUGUCGGGCAGAGGAUCCUCAUCGUUUACUGUGAAAAAAUUAGAGUGUUCAAAGCAGGCUUAUGCCGUUGAAUAUAUUAGCAUGGAAUAAUAAGAUAGGACUUUGGUACUAUUUUGUUGGUUUGCGCACCAAAGUAAUGAUUAAUAGGGACAGUUGGGGGUAUUCGUAUUCCGUUGUCAGAGGUGAAAUUCUUGGAUUUACGGAAGACGAACUACUGCGAAAGCAUUUACCAAGGAUGUUUCCAUUA